This 762-nucleotide long non-coding RNA is filed under the name Malus domestica (apple). RNAcentral's name for it is "long non-coding RNA (MDOM_LNC008760)". Lineage: Eukaryota; Viridiplantae; Streptophyta; Magnoliopsida; Rosales; Rosaceae. The record is from RNAcentral.
CUUGUACUUUAUGAUUGUGUGGAUUAGGCUUAUAUAAUAUAGCCUAAUAUAAUUAAUAUUAAUUAAUCAAGAUAAGGGCCUUGGGCCUUAGAAGUUAAAAUUAAUAAGAGUAUUAAUUUUAAUUAACAUAGUAAUUAAAAAUUGUUUUGUUUAAGAGACACAGCUUUUAUAAAGAGUUGUGUACUUUCAAAUACGUUCAACAGGUAUUUGAAAUGGUAUAAAACAACCUAUAUAUUUGCAAUCUCAGUUUCCAAUAGAAUUAUCUUUUCUUCCUCUCUCUCUUUCGUACAAAAUUCCUAGAGAGUAAACACACAAAGCAAUUCGUCAGAAUUCUAUAAUUCAAUGUGGGUUGUAGAAUUGGAUAAUUGCAUUUUGGUCGAGCAGACAUCGUAGAACCACAAGCACAAGAGUGAGAUGAAAAUACUAUUCGAAUGACAUUUUGUGUUAGCCUCUAUGCGUGAUUCAAUCAAGUCAGUAUCAUUUUAAUUCCUAUAAUUAUUUUUAUUAUUUCAUUAUGUAUUACAAGUAUUAUUCGUUAAUAAAGAAUCAAUAUUUCAAGAUCUUUUUUUUUUUUUUUUAAUUGUUCUCCAACAAACUGUACAGUCAAGAGGGAGAAGGGAAACAUAAUCUCCAUUCCUAUGGAAAUAGAGGACGGUUUAUUAUUGGAUCAAUAUGAUUACAUUCAUUUUUUCAAGAUCGUUUUAUCGUACAAGCAAGAACCUUCUUCAUUUACAGCCACACCCAAGAUAACAUUUAGGUUUG